CCGUGCUAGACGGGGAGCUAGCGGUGCCCUGUAACCCGAAAGCCGCUUAUGCGGGGUUGAAUCCCCUCCUGAGGGUCCAUGCAAUGUCGGAGUCUGGCAGUCCUUGGAUCUGGUUGGACACUGCGCAACAGACGGAUACGAACCCCGUCAGGUCCGGGAGGAAGCAGCGGUAAGUAUUGCAGUCUGUGUCGCAGUUCUCUCUAAUCAUGGCUUCCAGGCUGUCAGUUCCGGCACUGGCAGAAUUCGAGGGAGGGUGCACGG
RNAcentral lists this signal recognition particle RNA (261 nucleotides) under Deltaproteobacteria bacterium. RNAcentral describes it as "signal recognition particle sRNA large type". It matches the Rfam family "Bacterial large signal recognition particle RNA". From Rfam's summary of the family: The signal recognition particle (SRP) is a universally conserved ribonucleoprotein involved in the co-translational targeting of proteins to membranes. Archaeal SRP consists of a 7S RNA and homologues of the eukaryotic SRP19 and SRP54 proteins. RNAcentral also lists the same sequence under 1 other name. Lineage: Bacteria; Pseudomonadati; Myxococcota; Myxococcia. The record is from RNAcentral.